RNAcentral lists this transfer RNA (70 nucleotides) under Periophthalmus modestus (shuttles hoppfish). RNAcentral describes it as "tRNA-Ile". It matches the Rfam family "tRNA". Rfam says of the family: Transfer RNA (tRNA) molecules are approximately 80 nucleotides in length. Their secondary structure includes four short double-helical elements and three loops (D, anti-codon, and T loops). Lineage: Eukaryota; Metazoa; Chordata; Actinopteri; Gobiiformes; Gobiidae. The record is from RNAcentral. RNAcentral also lists the same sequence under 1 other name.
GGAACUGUGCCUGAAACAAAGGACCACUUUGAUAGAGUGAAUAAUGGGGGUUAAAGUCCCCCCAGCUCCU